UUUCCGUAGGUGAACCUGCGGAAGGAUCAUUAUCGAGUGUUUGACAUCUGUUUUGUGCGGAGCAAUCCAAACAAAAUGUGUUGUUCAAAUCCUAAAAUUCCCUGCGAAACGUUGAUUGUUUCUUACAACAACCAAACCAUUUUAACCACACACACAAACAAGCUGAUUGUAUGAUGAAAUCGAAAAUAAAUAAAUCACAAUCGUGACAACUUUUAACAACGGAUAUCUUGGCUCUC
This 236-nucleotide unclassified non-coding RNA is filed under the name soil metagenome. RNAcentral's name for it is "partial contains small subunit ribosomal RNA, internal transcribed spacer 1, and 5.8S ribosomal RNA". The record is from RNAcentral.